This 42-nucleotide ribosomal RNA is filed under the name Euclinostomum sp. 1 SS-2014. RNAcentral's name for it is "partial 28S ribosomal RNA". RNAcentral also lists the same sequence under 3 other names. Lineage: Eukaryota; Metazoa; Platyhelminthes; Trematoda; Strigeidida; Clinostomidae. The record is from RNAcentral.
GGAUCAGACGUGAUUACCCGCUGAACUUAAGCAUAUCACUAA